UACGUAGGGGGCAAGCGUUAUCCGGAUUUACUGGGUGUAAAGGGGGCGCAGACAGCGAUGCAAGCCAGGAGUGAAAGCCCGGGGCCCAACCCCGGGACUGCUCUUGGAACUGCGUGGCUGGAGUGCAGGAGGGGCAGGCGGAAUUCCUGGUGUAGCGGUGAAAUGCGUAGAUAUCAGGAGGAAUACCGGUGGCGAAGGCGGCCUGCUGGACUGCAACUGACGUUGAGGCCCGAAAGCGUGGGGAGCAAACAGG
RNAcentral lists this ribosomal RNA (253 nucleotides) under uncultured bacterium. RNAcentral describes it as "partial 16S ribosomal RNA". It matches the Rfam family "Bacterial small subunit ribosomal RNA", at positions 524 to 776 of the family's 1533-position model. The record is from RNAcentral.